UCAUCUUAUUCACAUUUUCAUCAUUUUAUCCAACUAUAAUCCAUUAGAUUGGAUUUUCACGCUCAAUCUCGCUCAUCCAAUUCUUAUCUAUAAUCUAUUCAUUUUCUUAUAUAAUGCUACUUUCCAACCCUUACAGAAUCACCACACAUUUUUUAUAUACAAUCUAGUUACAUAUUUAUCGAAAAAUCAAUAAAAUUAGCACAACAAGAAAGCGAUAACUCCUCUUACGACGACGGCAAUCAAGGCCACGCCAUCAUGACGACGAUGUACGUAGAAUACCAAUAACAUGUUCGCUUCACAGGGGAAGUGCAAAACACAACAUGGAGGAACAUCAUCACGCCGGAAUUCAGUAAGAUGGGACCGAAUAGCCAACAUGAAAGAUUGGUAUUCUCCGUACAUCGUCGUCAUUAUAGCGUGGCCUUGGUUGUCGUCGUCGGAAGAGGAGUUAUCGCUUACUUGUUGAGCCAUUUUUUUUUUUAUAUAAAUAUGUAACUAGAUUGUAUAUAGAAUGUGUGGUGAUUGUGUAAGGGUUGGGAAGUAGCAUUAUAUAAGAAACUGAUUUUUUUAUAUAAUGCUACUCCCCAAUUCUUACACAAUCACCACACAUGCUAUAUAAUGUUGUAUAUGAUUGUUAUAGAUAAUCUUGGAUGUCCUAGAUUGAACAUGAAAAUCCAAUUUAAUUGAUUAUAGUUGGAUAAGAUGAUGAAGAUCUAGAUAAGAUGAUGAAGAUGGUAGUAAAAUGAUUAGAUAAAAAAUUUAAUGGAUGAGAUCAAUGGAAAUCAUAUCCAAACAGUUGUAGUUCAACAUUUCAUAUCUUUUCAGAAUUUUUUAUUUUUUA
This is a non-coding RNA of Erythranthe guttata (spotted monkey flower), 838 nucleotides long. The record is from RefSeq and is a predicted model, not a curated record. NCBI's taxonomy places the organism in Eukaryota, Viridiplantae, Streptophyta, Magnoliopsida, Lamiales, Phrymaceae.